GAUGAACGCUAGCGGCAGGCCUAAUACAUGCAAGCCGAACGGCAAGCUUUGUAGCAAUACAGAGCCUAGAGUGGCGUAAGGGUGCGUAACACGUAUGGAAUCUGCCCUCAACAGGAGGAUAGCCUACCCCGGAAAGGGGAAUUAACACUCCAUAGGAUAUAGGUGUGGCAUCACAUUUAUAUUAAACCGCGAAGGGGUUGAGGAUGAGCAUGCGCAUGAUUAGUUAGUUGGC
RNAcentral lists this ribosomal RNA (232 nucleotides) under uncultured bacterium. Its description in RNAcentral is "partial 16S ribosomal RNA". It matches the Rfam family "Bacterial small subunit ribosomal RNA", at positions 28 to 253 of the family's 1533-position model. The record is from RNAcentral.